CGAGUGGCGAACGGGUGAGUAACGCGUGAGGAACCUGCCUCAAAGAGGGGGACAACAGUUGGAAACGGCUGCUAAUACCGCAUAAGCGCACAGUACCGCAUGGUACGGUGUGAAAAACUCCGGUGGUAUGAGAUGGACCCGCGUCUGAUUAGGUAGUUGGUGGGGUAACGGCCUACCAAGCCGACGAUCAGUAGCCGACCUGAGAGGGUGACCGGCCACAUUGGGACUGAGACACGGCCCAA
Molecule: ribosomal RNA, 242 nt
Filed under: uncultured bacterium
Lineage: Bacteria
Description: partial 16S ribosomal RNA
Rfam family: Bacterial small subunit ribosomal RNA
Source: RNAcentral